CUGGAGAGCGGCGCGCCGCGCGGAUGCCUGGCGCGCCCACCGAAGGGGCAACACGGGCGCGGCCCGUGGAAACUCUCAGGUCACAGGACAG
RNAcentral lists this non-coding RNA (91 nucleotides) under Betaproteobacteria bacterium. RNAcentral's name for it is "Glycine sequence". It matches the Rfam family "Glycine riboswitch aptamer", at positions 11 to 84 of the family's 94-position model. From Rfam's summary of the family: This family represents the bacterial glycine riboswitch. Glycine riboswitches usually consist of two metabolite-binding aptamers domains with similar structures in tandem. Lineage: Bacteria; Pseudomonadati; Pseudomonadota; Betaproteobacteria. The record is from RNAcentral.